UUCAUAUCAAUAAGCGGAGGAAAAGAAACCAACAGGGAUUGCCUUAGUAACGGCGAGUGAAGCGGCAAAAGCUCAAAUUUGAAAGCUAGCACCUUCGGUGUUCGCGUUGUAAUUUGAAGAUAGUUUCCUUGAGUAGUCCUUUAUCUAUGUUCCUUGGAACAGGACGUCAUAGAGGGUGAGAACCCCGUAUGAUUUUGGAUACUACUCUUUGUGGGAUUCUAUCGAAGAGUCGAGUUGUUUGGGAAUGCAGCUCUAAGUGGGUGGUAAAUUCCAUCUAAAGCUAAAUAUUGGCGAGAGACCGAUAGCGAACAAGUACAGUGAUGGAAAGAUGAAAAGAACUCUGAAGAGAGAGUGAAAAAGUACGUGAAAUUGCUGAAAGGGAAGGGCUUGAGGUCAGACUUGGUGUUUAAUGAUUAUCAGUUCUUCUUGGACUGUGCGCUCGUUUUUCACCGGGCCAAUAUCAGUUUUAGCGGUAGAGUACCCCUUGAAAUGUGGCUUCCUUCGGGGAGUGUUAUAGUCUUGGGGAGAUCUACUUGCUGGGACUGAGGACUGCGCUUCGGCAAGGAUAUUGGCGUAAUGACCUUAAGCCGC
RNAcentral lists this ribosomal RNA (591 nucleotides) under Saccharomycopsis fibuligera. RNAcentral's name for it is "partial large subunit ribosomal RNA". It matches the Rfam family "Eukaryotic large subunit ribosomal RNA", at positions 37 to 648 of the family's 3401-position model. Lineage: Eukaryota; Fungi; Ascomycota; Saccharomycetes; Ascoideales; Saccharomycopsidaceae. The record is from RNAcentral.